GAGGAGUGGACUGUACCAAGUCACGGAAAGCUCCCCUGAGGUGAUGGUGCUCCCGCGUCAGACCUGUCGAGCUGAGGAAACUGGAUCUCCCGCUCCCCAAAGUGCUGGAGAGACCCGUGGUUGCAUGCCUAAGAUAUCUCCUCGGCUGGCAGUCCACUCCUCUGAGAUUUCACAGACUCAGCCAAGCACACAGAUGUGCGGUAAACCCAAACAACGCAGUGACACGGGUGUGGAUCGCAGCAGCAGCAGCAGCAGCCAGGGAAGCCAAAAAGCAUCCACUGACACUUCCUUCAACCCUCGCAAAGGUUACUGAAGCAUUAAAGUCAGAUUAAACAAAUAAUCCCUUUAGCUUGUUGUGGGUCUGCCCCUGAGAUUUCCUUCCAAAUGGAUGUUUCUAAACUACCUCCGCGAGGAGGCUUGAGGAGGUAUCCCGAUUAGAUGCCUGAACCACAUCGACCGACACCUUUCGGUCCAGUGGAGCGGCGCUUGAGCUCCUUUCCAGAUUUGUGACCCUCUUACCCUGCGAUACCAAUGUUUCCAUGACACAACGAUAUCCAAAUGCUCUUGCAGGAGUAAAAUGUUAGUCCACUGUUGCAUGACCAGGACAGAAUCUGUAUUGCUGCUCCUGCCUCAAAGGUUUGACAAGUGGAAAAGGUUGAAUUAACUUAGCCACGUUGUCCCAUUUUUAACAAAUAAAUAGCCCUUAAUGUUCCGGUAACCAGCGCCGUCCUUUAGAAUCCUCCGAUUGUUCUUAAACUGAGUUUACAGGCGCCUACAAACAGCUGCUGGAAAUAAGAUUUCAGAUAUCAUCAUAAUCAUCGGCGCCGCAGCCAUUAUAGUUAUUGAUUUAUUUAAAUACAUUUCAAAAUUAAAAGGCAACUACAGCCAGUAUAGUGCACACAGCGCCAUCUGCUGGUAUUUUGUAUUAUCAGCAAGAAUAAAAUAGUCACAUCCAAAAAGGUUAUUGGGAGUUUCGUAUUUAAAUAGUCUUACAUCUAAUCUGAAAAAUAGUCUGAAAGUUUACUUUUUAAAAUCAGCUGAUGAGAAAACCUAGGGUUCAAACUAGGUGACCACACCCACUUAUGAAACUACAGGCCUGACGUGUCAUUUGUCAUUUAUCAACGUUAUUUCAUGCUAAUUUAUUUCAGCUAUCAAUAAAAACCAUCAGAGGCAGGGUCAGCUUGCGGGCACAGUGGGGAGAGGAAUAUUAUGGGAUGUGGACGGUCUCAGAACUGCAUGGCGCCUCAUUUAUUUGAAAAUGACCAACUACAUACACGAUUUGUUAGUGAAUCAUUCUAAAAUGAACUCAUUUUCAAACUGCAUUCUGUGUGCACUGUAGUCAGUUGUAUAAAAUGCAUGAAAGCAUAAAAUGACCUGUUGGUGAGAAAUUGUGUUAAAUUAAUUUCAUUAUCUUGGCCACAGGCUGAUGAUUGUGGACUUAUUAUUGAAUUGUUUCUGUUAAAAUACUCCAGAAUGGCACAUGCACACACUGACAUAAUGAUAAAACGUUGAUUUCCUAAUGAUCAUUACACUGGGAAUAAAGGACAAUCGGGGACUAAAUCUAAAUCCUGUAAUUAAAAUAUAGCUGAAACACAAAUGGCUGCACACUCCAUCUGCAGUACACAAAUAAAAACAUGUGCGUUAAAGUCAGUCGAUCAUGGACAACGUUUCAUGUCAAACUCUCAGGUAAGAAGCUUGAAGCACUUUCACAGCACUUCAAUGUCACGUCAUCGCAGGGAUAUUUGUAUAUUCUGUAUUUUGAAUGAAUGGGAAAAUCCAGGUCGACUUAAUGUGUGAAUAUAAAUGUGUGUCGCCAGCGUACAGCCUACAGCAUCCUAGAAUAAUCUCUAAUUAUACCACAAUGCACAGGUUAGGUAGUUUAGAAAUGGUUGGGGGGUGUUUUUCUUCGGUAUUAUGUCUCAUUAUGGCUAAUAUUAGCUCAGGAAUGAUGGGAGUGAAUAGUAACCUAAACCCUGUGUGUGUACAUUCAGUGUGUGUUUAUAAAUCUCUGUCUGAGUGUGAUCCACAUAAUAUUUGUGUCUAAACAAUAUUACAAAUGAUGCAUAAACUCUGAAAGUUCAGCAGCGCCAAGGUCAACAAGUCACGCCCAUCAUUGAAACGACAUUAUGUUGAAGACGUUGUCACAGCGAAGAGUGAAAAACGUCGUCAGCCGUCUCGAACAAUCAUUCAAACGUUUAAAUGUGGCGCAGCAGAUGUUACAACGAGCACAGUCUUGGCAUUCAGACGACCGUCGGACGUCAGGACGGACGACAAAUUGUGGGCUUUGACAAAAGGUCAGGGGGUUUAAGGGGCUUUUUAUUACAUUAUUAAACCUCAGCCGGAAAAAUAAAAAACACACAAUACUCGGGCGUUUUGGACAGAGUGUGAUCAGCAAGGCAUCUUUGAAUGAUGAGAUUCCGCUCGAUGUGAGUGUGAGAUUAACAGGAUUUACUUUGACUGAUGUCUUGAUCUCCCUCGCUCUCAUUUCUCGUGUGUCUGACACUUUUCCCUUCAACUGUAGAAGUAACUCACAAAAAUAAUGAUAGAUUAAAUACUCUGAUUAUAUAUAUAUAUAUAUAUAUGUGUGUGUACA
Long non-coding RNA from Solea senegalensis (Senegalese sole), 2593 nucleotides. RefSeq lists it as uncharacterized. The transcript has 3 exons. The record is from RefSeq and is a predicted model, not a curated record. NCBI's taxonomy places the organism in Eukaryota, Metazoa, Chordata, Actinopteri, Pleuronectiformes, Soleidae.